GACGAACGCUGGCGGCGUGCUUAACACAUGCAAGUCGAACGGAAAGGCCCUGCUUUUGUGGGGUGCUCGAGUGGCGAACGGGUGAGUAACACGUGAGUAACCUGCCCUUGACUUUGGGAUAACUUCAGGAAACUGGGGCUAAUACCGGAUAGGAGCUCCUGCUGCAUGGUGGGGGUUGGAAAGUUUCGGCGGUUGGGGAUGGACUCGCGGCUUAUCAGCUUGUUGGUGGGGUAGUGGCUUACCAAGGCUUUGACGGGUAGCCGGCCUGAGAGGGUGACCGGGCACAUAGGGGGAGAGAGACGGCCCCCAGUCCCCUGGGGGGGACAGGGGGGGAGAAUUGCGCAAAGGGGGGGGGCGCGAGAUGGAACAGCCCCGUGUGGGGGAGCGGGCUUUGGGUGUUGAAAACCUUUCGCGUGUGAGGAAACGUGUGUGAGGGGAUUGGGGAUAAAAACACACCGUAACAAUGC
This 467-nucleotide ribosomal RNA is filed under the name uncultured bacterium. RNAcentral's name for it is "partial 16S ribosomal RNA". It matches the Rfam family "Bacterial small subunit ribosomal RNA", at positions 28 to 496 of the family's 1533-position model. The record is from RNAcentral.